GGAGACUCCCAAGCCCUCCAUCUCCAGCAGCAACUUAAACCCCAGGGAGGCCAUGGAGACUGUGAUCUUAACCUGUAAUCCUGAGACUCCGGACGCAAGCUACCUGUGGUGGAUGAAUGGUCAGAGCCUCCCUAUGACUCAUAGGAUGCAGCUGUCUGAAACCAACAGGACCCUCUUUCUAUUUGGUGUCACAAAGUAUACUGCAGGACCCUAUGAAUGUGAAAUAUGGAACUCAGGGAGUGCCAGCCGCAGUGACCCAGUCACCCUGAAUCUCCUCCGCACUUAUUAAUGACUGCCACAACAGAAACACUGUGAAAAAGAUGCAACCAUGAAAAGGUGGAAAGUUUUGAUGACAUAGAAAAUAGCAAUCAGCCUUUCUCACAUCCCAAAGCCUUCAAAUAUAUAUGAGUGCAGCAUGGCCAGUAUGGAAUUCACCGAAAACUAAUCACCAAGCUAGAAAUGUGGUGAGAGAAAAAAAAGGGCAAGAAUAUAUUUGGCUUAUCACUUCCCACUUUUGUCUACUAAUCUGAUGCUGAAAAGAAAUUCUCACUGAAGCAUUUUAGAUUUUGAAUCUUUCAGAUUUGGGAUGCUAAACCAGUAAGUAUAUGACAAAUAUUUCAGAAUCAAAAAAUGUCAGAAAUCCAAAACA
RNAcentral lists this long non-coding RNA (649 nucleotides) under Homo sapiens (human). RNAcentral describes it as "non-protein coding lnc-PSG2-4:1". The record is from RNAcentral. Lineage: Eukaryota; Metazoa; Chordata; Mammalia; Primates; Hominidae.